AAAGAGUGCUUUACGAUAAAAAAUUUUUUUUCGCCUCCUUUGUACAACUAUUUCUGUUAUUAUCGUCUUUCUUUACCCCUCUCCUGCAAAAAUUCUGUUGUCAGCAAUGUCUUAAUUCAUUGGCUGAGACAGUCCCUCAUAUAUUUAUUGUAUUCGUAUAAAUACCGACCGAAAAUUUGAUUUUAUAUCCACUGUCUUGAUCGUAACUUCGGAGACAACUUAAAUAUUUUCUAGCCUAAUUAAUAAUCAACUGAAGAUUCAACUGAGUUAUCAUUCAAAAAUGUCGAAGAUACUGUUUGGAAUAAUCGGCAUUUUGGUCGUCAUUGCAAUUAUGCAAGUGACCGUUGAAGCCUGUAUAGGGUCAGGAGAAGCUUGUAAUAAUGAUUACGAAUGCUGUGGGAGCUUAACAUGUCAUGGGUAUUAUAAUGGAGUAUGGUUUGAAGACCGAUGUGCGUAACUUCGUCCAGCCGGAUGGUAAUAAAUCGCAUGUUGUUAACAGUAAAAUAAUAAUUUGGUGGUAAAAUUUAUCAAGAGUCGAAGACAUCUAAAAAAAAUUUUUAUUUCUUGAAAGUUAAUUAUUUGUAACCCGAAUUAUUUUUACAUGCAA
This is a long non-coding RNA of Microplitis mediator, 607 nucleotides long. RefSeq lists it as uncharacterized. The record is from RefSeq and is a predicted model, not a curated record. The transcript has 3 exons. NCBI's taxonomy places the organism in Eukaryota, Metazoa, Arthropoda, Insecta, Hymenoptera, Braconidae.